AUAUAUAUAUAUAUAUAUUCCUUUAACCUAUCAUCUGUAGUACUUUUUUCCCCUUAAUUUCUUAAAAAAUUUAUCUACCAUUUGUAGUAGGCUGCUUUAUGAUGGUGUCUAAUUCCCAAUUCAUUUGGACUCUUGCGUUUGGUCAUGGGUAAAAAUUAUAGGUAUUAGAUCUAGAAACUCUUCUGCCAGUUCAGAUUACCUUGAAAUAGGUUCUAAUUGGAUCUCUGUGCCUUUUUUGGGUGGGUGGGACUAUUGUUGCUCUUUGUUCAUAAGGUCUAUUGUGAAUGCUCUAUAUUUUUUAAAUUAAUGAGAAUUUAUGAUGCUAGCAAAAGCUUACUGUGCUGCUCCUCAUGCACGAAGCUCUCUGCUUUGUGAGGGUCAGGGUGGUUUGUAUAUUAAGGGAGCAACCUUUUGUUCUCUCAGGGCUCUCAUGUAAUGGAAAAUUUGAACUUGGUUGAGAACAAAGUCAAUGCUUUCUGAAAGAAACAGAAG
This 492-nucleotide unclassified non-coding RNA is filed under the name Hevea brasiliensis (rubber tree). Lineage: Eukaryota; Viridiplantae; Streptophyta; Magnoliopsida; Malpighiales; Euphorbiaceae. The record is from RNAcentral.